CGAGAGGACCGGAGUGGACGCAUCACUGGUGUUCGGGUUGUCAUGCCAAUGGCACUGCCCGGUAGCUAAAUGCGGAAGAGAUAAGUGCUGAAAGCAUCUAAGCACGAAACUUGCCCCGAGAUGAGUUCUCCCUGAGACUUAGAGUCUCCUGAAGGAACGUUGAAGACGACGACGUUGAUAGGCCGGGUGUGUAAGCGCAGCGAUGCGUUGAGCUAACCGGUACUAAUGAACCGUGAGGCUUAACCUUACAACGCCGAAG
RNAcentral lists this ribosomal RNA (259 nucleotides) under Salmonella enterica subsp. enterica serovar Typhimurium. RNAcentral's name for it is "partial 23S ribosomal RNA". It matches the Rfam family "Bacterial large subunit ribosomal RNA", at positions 2684 to 2925 of the family's 2925-position model. RNAcentral also lists the same sequence under 1 other name. Lineage: Bacteria; Pseudomonadati; Pseudomonadota; Gammaproteobacteria; Enterobacterales; Enterobacteriaceae. The record is from RNAcentral.